Molecule: long non-coding RNA, 1270 nt
Organism: Drosophila sulfurigaster albostrigata
Lineage: Eukaryota; Metazoa; Arthropoda; Insecta; Diptera; Drosophilidae
Exons: 2
Source: RefSeq, a predicted model, not a curated record
GUUAUGUAAGCCGAAAUUGAAGAAGUUAAAACGCACAAGUAUACGCUUGAAAUGCGUUCAAUAUCCAUUGGUCGAAGGAUGGUCAACAAUGCCAUUGACUUGAACUUUUCGUCGGAUGGAGCUUGGUGUUGUCCUUGUUGGUGACUCUAGGUGCCGUUACCAUGGUACAUUAAGAACGACUCUGGUUGUAAAUUCAACUGUUUUAUGUGCUUUUUGUUACGCAUUGCUAAACUACUAGCCAACCAGGACCAGACAGGGUUCAGUUUUCAGUUUGCAAUGGGCACGCCUCACAAAUGUUUCCCUCAAACAUGACGACCGCAAAGCAACAUAAAAAAAGGAUGGCAAUUGAAACAUGAGCCUAUUAUUUUAAUUAGAUGUUAGAAUGGUUUCCAUUCAUGAUUAUUCUGUUCUUUACAUUAGCUCCAUGACACCCCCAUACUGACGUAUACUUAUUUUAAGAAAAUAAGGCGACCCCAGAUGUGAUGAUCUGGUAGUGUUAGUUAUCAGAAUCUGAAUUGAUUGGUCGUUCGUGAAAAACUUUAUUAAUGAAUCAACCCUUGUUCGCUGAAAACAGAAGAACCCAUACUAAAGCAUUAUAUUUUCGCAUAUUACUAUGGCCCGAUUAAAUAUUAAUAACCCAAUAGGAAGCCGUAUGGUAUCUGAUUACACUGUCACUCCUCAUGUCACGUAGUCUGUGAACGACUAAGACAUAUUACACUAGGCCACAAACGCAUCGGUUGUAUGUAUGUAUAUAAAAAAUGAGGUAUGGCGGAAAGACAGGAUGUGCAGCCUACAUGUCAAAUACACCAAAUGCUGGAUAGAUGUCUGGCCUGAAAACUAAGCAAACAAAAUCAAAAGACAACGGGCAACUGAACUGACUCUUAAUCUUGAAUGUGUAUAUCAUUUGGAUUGAUUGCAGGAAUAGACAAGCCGUGAAGUGUUUUUGUUUGCUUGUGGCCGUUUGCUAUGAUGUUUCCCUCUAAGACAGAGAAUAUGUAUUAUGUAUGUGUAUUUUAUGUGUGGAUAUGUGAAUCUAUGAACCGGAUAAGUUUUGUUUGCCAAGAGGACAUCCGAACAAGCGUCGCCGUCAGACGCCAAUGACGCCGUCGAUGUCACACUUGGAUUGUUGACACGAGCAGUAGCGUAAAUGAGUUAUGAAUUUCGUAGUCACGGAUUUCCAACCCUUUCCAUAGCUGAUACGUUUUUAUAGUAAUUUAAAAUAAUUUGUGUUUUGAAUAAACUAAAUCGGAUCGAAAUAUUUUUAUAAGAA